RNAcentral lists this transfer RNA (73 nucleotides) under Actinoplanes xinjiangensis. RNAcentral describes it as "tRNA-Asp". It matches the Rfam family "tRNA". Rfam says of the family: Transfer RNA (tRNA) molecules are approximately 80 nucleotides in length. Their secondary structure includes four short double-helical elements and three loops (D, anti-codon, and T loops). Lineage: Bacteria; Bacillati; Actinomycetota; Actinomycetes; Micromonosporales; Micromonosporaceae. The record is from RNAcentral.
GCCCCGUUGGCUCAAUGGGAGAGCGCCCGCCUGUCGAGCGGGAGGCCGCCGGUUCGAUCCCGGCACGGGGCGC